UUCGCCCUUAGAGUUUGAUCCUGGCUCAGGACGAACGCUGGCGGCGUGCUUAACACAUGCAAGUCGAACGGAGCACCCCUGAAAGAGUUUUCGGACAAUGGAAGGGAAUGCUUAGUGGCGGACUGGUGAGUAACGCGUGAGGAACCUGCCUUCCAGAGGGGGACAACAGUUGGAAACGACUGCUAAUACCGCAUGACACAUGACCGUGGCAUCACGGACAUGUCAAAGAUUUAUCGCUGGAAGAUGGCCUCGCGUCUGAUUAGCUAGUAGGCGGGGUAACGGCCCACCUAGGCGACGAUCAGUAGCCGGACUGAGAGGUUGACCGGCCACAUUGGGACUGAGAUACGGCCCAGACUCCUACGGGAGGCAGCAGUGGGGAAUAUUGGGCAAUGGGCGCAAGCCUGACCCAGCAACGCCGCGUGAAGGAAGAAGGCUUUCGGGUUGUAAACUUCUUUUAAGGGGGAAGAGCAGAAGACGGUACCCCUUGAAUAAGCCACGGCUAACUACGUGCCAGCAGCCGCGGUAAUACGUAGGUGGCAAGCGUUAUCCGGAUUUACUGGGUGUAAAGGGAGCGUAGACGGUGCAGCAAGUCUGAUGUGAAAGGUCGGGGCCCAACCCCGGGACUGCAUUGGAAACUGUUGAACUGGAGUACAGGAGAGGUAAGCGGAAUUCCUAGUGUAGCGGUGAAAUGCGUAGAUAUUAGGAGGAACACCAGUGGCGAAGGCGGCUUACUGGACUGUAACUGACGUUGAGGCUCGAAAGCG
This 764-nucleotide ribosomal RNA is filed under the name uncultured bacterium. Its description in RNAcentral is "bacterial SSU rRNA". It matches the Rfam family "Bacterial small subunit ribosomal RNA", at positions 1 to 761 of the family's 1533-position model. The record is from RNAcentral.